UACGAAGGGGGCUAGCGUUGUUCGGAAUCACUGGGCGUAAAGGGUGCGUAGGCGGUCGGGUAAGUCUGAUGUGAAAUCUCCAAGCUCAACUUGGAAAUGGCAUCGGAUACUAUUCGGCUGGAGGAAUGGAGGGGAGACUGGAAUACUUGGUGUAGCAGUGAAAUGCGUAGAUAUCAAGUGGAACACCAGUGGCGAAGGCGAGUCUCUGGACAUUUCCUGACGCUGAGGCACGAAAGCCAGGGGAGCAAACGGG
This 253-nucleotide ribosomal RNA is filed under the name uncultured bacterium. RNAcentral describes it as "partial 16S ribosomal RNA". It matches the Rfam family "Bacterial small subunit ribosomal RNA", at positions 524 to 776 of the family's 1533-position model. The record is from RNAcentral.